This 1000-nucleotide ribosomal RNA is filed under the name Enterococcus faecium. RNAcentral describes it as "bacterial SSU rRNA". It matches the Rfam family "Bacterial small subunit ribosomal RNA", at positions 28 to 1007 of the family's 1533-position model. Lineage: Bacteria; Bacillati; Bacillota; Bacilli; Lactobacillales; Enterococcaceae. The record is from RNAcentral.
GGGGAAUGGCGGGUGCUAUACAUGCAAGUCGAACGCUUCUUUUUCCACCGGAGCUUGCUCCACCGGAAAAAGAGGAGUGGCGAACGGGUGAGUAACACGUGGGUAACCUGCCCAUCAGAAGGGGAUAACACUUGGAAACAGGUGCUAAUACCGUAUAACAAUCAAAACCGCAUGGUUUUGAUUUGAAAGGCGCUUUCGGGUGUCGCUGAUGGAUGGACCCGCGGUGCAUUAGCUAGUUGGUGAGGUAACGGCUCACCAAGGCCACGAUGCAUAGCCGACCUGAGAGGGUGAUCGGCCACAUUGGGACUGAGACACGGCCCAAACUCCUACGGGAGGCAGCAGUAGGGAAUCUUCGGCAAUGGACGAAAGUCUGACCGAGCAACGCCGCGUGAGUGAAGAAGGUUUUCGGAUCGUAAAACUCUGUUGUUAGAGAAGAACAAGGAUGAGAGUAACUGUUCAUCCCUUGACGGUAUCUAACCAGAAAGCCACGGCUAACUACGUGCCAGCAGCCGCGGUAAUACGUAGGUGGCAAGCGUUGUCCGGAUUUAUUGGGCGUAAAGCGAGCGCAGGCGGUUUCUUAAGUCUGAUGUGAAAGCCCCCGGCUCAACCGGGGAGGGUCAUUGGAAACUGGGAGACUUGAGUGCAGAAGAGGAGAGUGGAAUUCCAUGUGUAGCGGUGAAAUGCGUAGAUAUAUGGAGGAACACCAGUGGCGAAGGCGGCUCUCUGGUCUGUAACUGACGCUGAGGCUCGAAAGCGUGGGGAGCAAACAGGAUUAGAUACCCUGGUAGUCCACGCCGUAAACGAUGAGUGCUAAGUGUUGGAGGGUUUCCGCCCUUCAGUGCUGCAGCUAACGCAUUAAGCACUCCGCCUGGGGAGUACGACCGCAAGGUUGAAACUCAAAGGAAUUGACGGGGCCCGCACAAGCGGUGGAGCAUGUGGUUUAAUUCGAAGCAACGCGAAGAACCUUACCAGUCUUGACAUCCUUUGACCACCUCUAGAG